This 422-nucleotide ribosomal RNA is filed under the name uncultured prokaryote. Its description in RNAcentral is "bacterial SSU rRNA". It matches the Rfam family "Bacterial small subunit ribosomal RNA", at positions 355 to 774 of the family's 1533-position model. The record is from RNAcentral.
UGAGGAAUAUUGGUCAAUGGGCGCAAGCCUGAACCAGCCAUCCCGCGUGAAGGAAGAAUGCGCUAUGCGUUGUAAACUUCUUUUCCAGGGGAAUAAAAUUUCGUACGUGUACGGGACUGAAGGUACCUUGGGAAUAAGCAUCGGCUAACUCCGUGCCAGCAGCCGCGGUAAUACGGCGGAUGCGAGCGUUAUCCGGAUUUAUUGGGUUUAAAGGGUGCGUAGGCGGAAAAAUAAGUCAGUGGUGAAAACCUUCAGCUUAACUGGAGACUUGCCAUUGAUACUGUUAGUCUUUAGUAUAGUUAAGGUAGUCGGAAUGUGUAAUGUAGCGGUGAAAUGCUUAGAUAUUACACAGAACACCAAUUGCGAAGGCAGCUUACUGAGCUAUAACUGACGCUGAUGCACGAAAGCGUGGGGAGCGAACA